CACUCCGGUGGCCUAGUUGCUAGAGCGUACGCCUGGGAUGCGAGAGGUCGCAGGUUUGAACCCUGGCCGAGUCA
Potamilus streckersoni is the source of this 74-nucleotide non-coding RNA. The record is from the annotation of a GenBank genome assembly. Lineage: Eukaryota; Metazoa; Mollusca; Bivalvia; Unionida; Unionidae.